UGGUAGUAGUGAUGCUGGUGGUGGUGGUGGUGAUGGUAGUGGUGGUGGUGGUGAUGAUGGUGGAGGGAAAAGCAGACUCCAACGGAGAAGGAUGGAGGUCCUGUCGGUUUAGUGCGCCGUCGCUACGCCGUCGCGACGCCGAGCGUCGUCGAGAGCAGCCGAGCGUUGCGCUGCUGCUGCUGGCUGCUGGCUGCUACUGCUACUUCUCCUUUCAUGUGGUGGGGAUUUCAUCCCCCAUCUCUCUCUCUCUCUCUCUUUCCUUUCCUUCUCCCUCCCGUAAUUCUCUCGCGCGCGUGUGGCUCUGCAAAAACAAGCAUACGGAGAUCCCCAGUAGUAGCAGCCCGGUACGCAGAGCAGACGAGAACGUCAAACCGGUCGGCACUCGCGUACAGGAAGAGGAAAGAGAGAGAGAGAGAGAGAGACAGCACGCGAGAGAGAGAGAGAGAGAGAAUGAGAGAAGAAGAGAGAAGGGAAGAGAGACAUUGAUUUGAAAGAAUGACGUUGAGUAGAAAUCGAUCGAGCGAUUUCUAGGGAAAGAGUUUAAAGUGAUUCGAUGAGAGAGUGAAUUCCGCAUGUCGAAAGUUCUUCAGUGCAAUAAAGUGUUACUGUUCAAUAUUUAUAUAACAAAUCAAAAAGGAAGAAGGGAAGAAUUAUGAAGAGAACGUAAUCUGUUUAAAUAAAUAAAAAAAAAAAUAAAAAAAAAUAAUAAUAAUAAACGAACAAAUAAAAUUAACGAGAAAUAAGGAAAUAAAUAAAUAAAUAAAUAAUAACUAAAAGUGACAUAAUAAUCAGUGAAAAUUGACGUGCGAAGAAAAGAAGAAAACACUUUGUACAAUUUCGUGUUAUAAUCGUGUAUCCUGAUUGUCGUGUAUAUCCCUGUAACUCGUGCGCUAACAGGAAGGCUCCGUGUUUGUCACGUUUUCG
This is a long non-coding RNA of Vespa crabro (European hornet), 924 nucleotides long. RefSeq lists it as uncharacterized. The transcript is spliced from 4 exons. NCBI's taxonomy places the organism in Eukaryota, Metazoa, Arthropoda, Insecta, Hymenoptera, Vespidae. The record is from RefSeq and is a predicted model, not a curated record.